AUAUUUACCUGUUGGGGGAGACUGUGGCCAAGAAGGCGAGGUUCCCAGGAUAACACUCAUUCACUGCACUUGGGAUUUACUGAGCCUUCUAAUUUCUCCAAAUUUGGGAAACUCGACUGUAUAAUUUGUGGCAAUGUAGGAGUGUACUUUAACACACACAUGUA
This is a small nuclear RNA of Mesocricetus auratus (golden hamster), 164 nucleotides long. Its record names the gene U1. It matches the Rfam family "U1 spliceosomal RNA". Rfam says of the family: U1 is a small nuclear RNA (snRNA) component of the spliceosome (involved in pre-mRNA splicing). The record is from Ensembl. NCBI's taxonomy places the organism in Eukaryota, Metazoa, Chordata, Mammalia, Rodentia, Cricetidae.